This 178-nucleotide ribosomal RNA is filed under the name uncultured bacterium. RNAcentral describes it as "partial 16S ribosomal RNA". It matches the Rfam family "Bacterial small subunit ribosomal RNA", at positions 1314 to 1500 of the family's 1533-position model. The record is from RNAcentral.
GACUCCAUGAAGCUGGAUUCGCUGUAAUCGCGCAUCUGCCACGGCGCGGUGAAUACGUUCCCGGGCCUUGUACACACCGCCCGUCAAGCCAUGGAAGCCGGGAGUGCCUGAAGUGUGCAACCGCAAGGAGCGCCCUAAGGUAAAACCGGUGACUGGGGCUAAGUCGUAACAAGGUACC